UGGCCGAUCGGCGGUGCAGCGGAGGCGCAAGCCGGGGGCCCGGGUCUGCGCGGGGCGGGAGCUAGCAGGGACUUACCGGCAUGACCGUGGAUGUGGUGGUAGCGACGCCUGGGCUGGCUCUGAGCUCUAGCGCCGCUGUGCUUCCGGGGCUGGGUGCCGAGAAGCGCCGCCCCUCACGCGAAACCCCGCCCCCUUCGCCGCGGCCCGCAGUUAGGCCCCGCCUCCCUGGCCGCGCGGCCGGGAGCCGCGGGACCGCCGUUGGCCGCCACUCACCCUUUGAGCGGGCGGGGCUCUGGGAUUCCGCACGCUUCUGCAGCCCCCGGGGCCAGCCUGCAACGCCUACAGACCACGUUUAGACCACCUGCUCAGUCUCAGGCCUGUAUUAGGGGCUGGGAAUACAAGGACCCGGCAGUGAACACGACAAACCCCACACCUCCCUAAAAAGGACAAACAUUUCUUGACUCAGUCAAUAUUGAGUUGAGUCCCAUCCGUGAGCCAGCACUGUGUGCUAGGUAUCCAAGGCGCAGUGGUGAAAGAGACAGCCUGGCAGGGAGCGGAGGAAGCAGGCGAUGAAAAUGCAGUGUUAAAGGGAUGGACGGUAUCACGGGUGCAGAGAAAGGAUCUCGAACUGGAGCCUGUUGGGGGGCGGGAGAGGGGUUCUGGCUGACAGUAGGUUUCAGGAGGAGCUAAUCUGAGUCAAGGACGGAGAGUACACGUUUAUCUGAUGAAGGAAGAUGAGCUAUUUGGGAAGGAGGGAGGCAGAGGGGACAGCAAGUACAAAAGUUGGAAGACAAGAGUGGGCAGGGCUUGAGAGGCAGUUAUUCAGACUGAGAGGCAGGGACAAAGAGAGGUGGAGAAAUGAAGCGACAAGGAUAUGAGACCCACAGCCAUGGGUGAAGACAGAUGAAGGCAGAGAUGCUCUAGGACACUAACAGAGAAACAGGCAUGGCAAGACUCAGAACUUCAGUCACAUACACCCCUCUGCACACACACAAGCAUCGGGGAGGACUUCUUGGAAUAUCCAAGGAAUUUGCUAGAGGAGCCCAGUCUGAGUUACUAGUUUCAAUGUUUAUUUUGAGAGAGAGCGAGAGAGAAAGAGAGCAAGCCACACAGGUGCACACAAGCAGGGGAGAGGUAGACAGAGAGGGAGAGAGAGAAUCCCAAGCAGGCUCUGUGCUGUCAUUGCAGAGCCCAACUGGGGCUCAAUCCCAGAGAGAUCAUGACCUGAGCUGAAACCAAGAGUCAUGUGCUUAACCGACUGAGUCACCCAGCCUCCCCCGGAGUUAGUAGUUUCAAAGCUGUCUCAUCAACAGAACUGCUUGGACAGCCUACUAAUAACCCAGAUUUCUAGGCUUCAUCCUAGAUUCACUGCCCCUUAAUUUCAAGGUUCAAGAACAUGAAAUGGAAGGGAUAAAUCUAGGCCACUGACUCACGCCAGCUCUGAAUGAGGAGGUCCACUUCCAGCAUGCCAACUGUGCCCUGGCCAAUGAGUCAGAAGCAGAAGUCUGCUACAAGGUUUCUGGAAAGCUCUUGCUUUCUUCACAAGGGGAACAGAUACCACUCCUUUCCCCUUCCUGACCAGAAUAUUGAUGUGAUAUCUAGACUGUAACCAGGAAAGAAAUGCCAAGAGAAUCACAGAGACGCUUGUUCUGACUGUGUGCUCACUCAACCAAUGCCCACGGCAGCUUGCCUCCAGACUUGGUUUCACACCCAGCCUGGGGCCCAAUGUGGGGUUUGAACUCAUGACCCUGAGAUCAAGACCUGAACUGAGAUCAAGAGUCGGACGCUUAACCACCUGAGCCACCCAGGUGCCCCAGUAAUCUCUGUUUUGAGGAUCAAAGUUUCCAUAUUUGUAUUAUGGAAAAUGUAUAUGUAUUAAAAUCUAUCCUUAACACUGAAUUUCUUUUGAAAAAUAAUACAUGUACAUGUUUAAAAAAUUGUCAGUUCCCAAGGGUACUUUGGAUGAAUGAAAACUAAGCUGUUCUCCCACCCUGGCCCAAGUUCACCUCGUUAACAAUCAUUAACAGUUUCUUAUGACUCCUUCCAGACAUAGACAUAACCUGUGCAUGUACAGCAAAACCAUCCAGAUAUGUGCAGAGAUAACUAGAGCAAUAGAGUAUACCUUAAUAGAAAUAAUCGCCCCAUGGCAUUGGUUCCCCUUCCUUACUCUUUCCAUUUCUGCACUUUGCUUUCUCCAUCUACUGGUAUCUCUUGGAAAUUGCUCUGUGACUGUACACAUAGAUCUGCCUCAUUUUCUCUAUGGCUGCAUGACAGUCCACUGUAAGAGUGCAUUGUACUGCAGUACUAUACCUAACCAGUUCCAUACAGCUCUAGAUUUGGGUUGUUUCCUCUCUUUCUAGUAGGAGCAGUGCUGCAAUCCAUGUUAUUACAUUAGAGCUUUGUUCGCAGGUGAGAAUUUAACAGUGAAAGAUACACACAGGCAUGUAUUUUUAAUCGCCCUUCAUAAGUGAUUAGCUAUGUUUGGGAAAAACUGAUCCACUUGAUAUUCUUAGGAUCAUUCCUUUCCUAAUAUUCCCUGUUCCCCAACUUCCUCCACCACCA
Long non-coding RNA from Acinonyx jubatus (cheetah), 2562 nucleotides. RefSeq lists it as uncharacterized. The transcript is spliced from 4 exons. NCBI's taxonomy places the organism in Eukaryota, Metazoa, Chordata, Mammalia, Carnivora, Felidae. The record is from RefSeq and is a predicted model, not a curated record.